Molecule: long non-coding RNA, 420 nt
Organism: Hippocampus zosterae (dwarf seahorse)
Lineage: Eukaryota; Metazoa; Chordata; Actinopteri; Syngnathiformes; Syngnathidae
Exons: 2
Source: RefSeq, a predicted model, not a curated record
CUUUGCUGCUAUAAACAUGGAUCGGAAUCCAACUUCGAAACGUAACCCCCUCCCCUAAAAGUCUUUCAUACAAACAACAGUGGUUUUAAUAAACAAACGUCAUCCACGCUCCAGAAUAAGAUUAGACUAGUUGAGCACAAAACAUGAGCUCACCCUCUAAGAAAGCGACUUACUUGCUAUGAUAGGCCUGGAACUCAAAACAAUACGUGAAAAAUGUGUCAUGAAAGUUAAGUGUGGGCGGGCGGGGGGGGGGGGGUAAUCUUGAUCAACACGUUCAUCUGAAUGAAAACACCCCAUCAAAGCUGCAGAAUAAGACUAGCCUAUCUGAGCACAAAGGGCUUGCGUUCCUCCCAAGAAUCGAGUCAGUUGCUCUACUAAAUUUGGUGCGAAAAACACGGCGUGACAGCCAUGUUGGAAACA